Molecule: ribosomal RNA, 468 nt
Filed under: uncultured bacterium
Lineage: Bacteria
Description: partial 16S ribosomal RNA
Rfam family: Bacterial small subunit ribosomal RNA
Source: RNAcentral
GACGAACGCUGGCGGCGUGCUUAGCACAUGCAAGUCGAACGGAAAGGCCCUGCUUUUGUGGGGUGCUCGAGUGGCGAACGGGUGAGUAACACGUGAGUAACCUGCCCUUGACUUUGGGAUAACUUCAGGAAACUGGGGCUAAUACCGGAUAGGAUCUCCUGCUGCAUGGUGGGGUUUGGAAAGUUUCGGCGGUUGGGGAUGGACUCGCGGCUUAUCAGCUUGUUGGUGGGGUAGUGGCUUACCAAGGCUUUGACGGGUAGCCGGCCUGAGAGGGUGACCGGCCACAUUGGGACUGAGAUACGGCCCAGACUCCUACGGGAGGCAGCAGUGGGGAAUAUUGCACAAUGGGCGGAAGCCUGAUGCAGCAACGCCGCGUGCGGGAUGACGGCCUUCGGGUUGUAAACCGCUUUCGCCUGUGACGAAGCGUGAGUGACGGUAAUGGGUAAAGAAGCACCGGCUAACUACGUG